This 61-nucleotide transfer RNA is filed under the name Chryseobacterium sp. Leaf394. Its description in RNAcentral is "tRNA-Asp". It matches the Rfam family "tRNA", at positions 7 to 60 of the family's 71-position model. Rfam says of the family: Transfer RNA (tRNA) molecules are approximately 80 nucleotides in length. Their secondary structure includes four short double-helical elements and three loops (D, anti-codon, and T loops). Further hydrogen bonds mediate the characteristic L-shaped molecular structure. tRNAs have two regions of fundamental functional importance: the anti-codon, which is responsible for specific mRNA codon recognition, and the 3' end, to which the tRNAs corresponding amino acid is attached (by aminoacyl-tRNA synthetases). tRNAs cope with the degeneracy of the genetic code in two manners: having more than one tRNA (with a specific anti-codon) for a particular amino acid; and 'wobble' base-pairing, i.e. permitting non-standard base-pairing at the 3rd anti-codon position. Lineage: Bacteria; Pseudomonadati; Bacteroidota; Flavobacteriia; Flavobacteriales; Weeksellaceae. The record is from RNAcentral.
UCCGGUAGUUCAGCUGGUUAGAAUGCCGCCCUGUCACGGCGGAGGUCGCGGGUUCGAGUCC